CCCUUAGAUGUUCUGGGCGGCCCGCGCACUACAUUGGCACUAGCAAAGAGAUCCUAGAUUGAAUUCUUUGGGGUAUUCUUCUAAAUGGUGUCGUGACUGGGAUAAAUCCUUGUAAUUAUUGGUUUUGAACGAGGAAUUCCUUGUAAUCGCGGUUUAUCAGCUCGCGUUGAAUGCGUCCCCGCCCUUUGUACACACCGCCCGUCGCUCCUACCGAUGGAUCGUCCGGUGAAGCUCACGGAGUGACUGUUCACGCAACGGUUUACGAAGUGAAAUGGACCUCACGAUUUAGAGGAAGGAGAAGUCGUAACA
Molecule: ribosomal RNA, 309 nt
Filed under: uncultured eukaryote
Lineage: Eukaryota
Description: partial 18S ribosomal RNA
Rfam family: Eukaryotic small subunit ribosomal RNA
Source: RNAcentral